UGAACAGAUUAUUGUAAUUCGACUGUAUUCACGGCGUGAAACAGGGGAUUACAUUAUUUUUAAACGGAAAAUGAAUCAAUUAACAUAAUAGACUCCU
This 97-nucleotide microRNA precursor is filed under the name Nicotiana sylvestris (wood tobacco). Its description in RNAcentral is "MIR6152 microRNA precursor family". It matches the Rfam family "MIR6152 microRNA precursor family". Lineage: Eukaryota; Viridiplantae; Streptophyta; Magnoliopsida; Solanales; Solanaceae. The record is from Rfam by way of RNAcentral.